This 452-nucleotide ribosomal RNA is filed under the name uncultured bacterium. Its description in RNAcentral is "bacterial SSU rRNA". It matches the Rfam family "Bacterial small subunit ribosomal RNA", at positions 340 to 786 of the family's 1533-position model. The record is from RNAcentral.
UACGGAAGGCAGCAGUGGGGAAUAUUGCACAAUGGGCGCAAGCCUGAUGCAGCCAUGCCGCGUGUAUGAAGAAGGCCUUCGGGUUGUAAAGUACUUUCAGUCGUGAGGAAGGUGUUAAGGUUAAUAACCUUAGCAAUUGACGUUAGCGACAGAAGAAGCACCGGCUAACUCCGUGCCAGCAGCCGCGGUAAUACGGAGGGUGCGAGCGUUAAUCGGAAUUACUGGGCGUAAAGGGCACGCAGGCGGUUAAUUAAGUUGGAUGUGAAAUCCCCGGGCUUAACCUGGGAAUGGCAUUCAAGCUGGUUAGCUAGAGUCUUGUAGAGGGGGUAGAAUUCCAUGUGUAGCGGUGAAAUGCGUAGAGAUGUGGAGGAAUACCGGUGGCGAAGGCGGCCCCUGGACAAAGGCUGACGCUCAUGUGCGAAAGCGUGGGGAGCAAACAGGGAUUAGAUACC